UCAAAAAUAGUUUAUAUAAAAAUGUUAAUCUUGGAGAUUAAGGAAAUUAGUUAUUAUUUUUUGAA
Molecule: transfer RNA, 65 nt
Filed under: Parevania sp. ZJUH_2016024
Lineage: Eukaryota; Metazoa; Arthropoda; Insecta; Hymenoptera; Evaniidae
Description: tRNA-Pro
Source: RNAcentral